UGGCGCACGGGUGAGUAACACGUGGGUAAUCUGCCCUUGAGUUUGGGAUAACCCCGCGAAAGCGGGGCUAAUACCGAAUAAGACCACGGGGACCAAAGUCCCUGAGGUAAAAGGUGGCCUCUAUUUAUAAGCUACCACUUGAGGAUGAGCCCGCGGCCCAUUAGCUAGUUGGCAGGGUAACGGCCUACCAAGGCUAUGAUGGGUAGCUGGUCUGAGAGGACGAUCAGCCACACUGGAACUGAGACACGGUCCAGACUCCUACGGGAGGUAGCAGUGGGGAAUAUUGCGCAAUGGGCGAAAGCCUGACGCAGCAACGCCGCGUGGGGGAUGAAGGUUUUCGGAUUGUAAACCCCUUUCGAUCGGAACGAAUCUCCUCUUGGUAAAUAAUCGAGAGGAUCGACGGUGCCGGGAGAAGAAGCCACGGCUAACUCUGUACCAGCAGCCGCGGUAAGACAGAGGUGGCGAGCGUUGUUCGGAUUUAUUGGGCGUAAAGCGAACGCAGGUGGUUUGGUAAGUCAGGGGUGAAAGUCCACAGCUUAACUGUGGCACUGCCUUUGAUACUGCCUUUCUUGAGUGCAUGAGGGGGAAGCGGAAUUCCGAGUGUAGAGGUGAAAUUCGUAGAUAUUCGGAGGAACACCGGUGGCGAAGGCGGCUUCCUGGCAUGCAACUGACACUCAUGUUCGAAAGCGUGGGUAGCAAACAGGAUUAGAUACCCUGGUAGUCCACGCCCUAAACGAUGGGCACUAGGUGUGGGAGGUAUCGACCCCUUCCGUGCCGCAGCUAACGCAUUAAGUGCCCCGCCUGGGGAGUACGGCCGCAAGGUUGAACUCAAGGAAUUGACGGGGCCCGCACAAGCGGUGGUGCAUGUGGUUUAUUCG
Molecule: ribosomal RNA, 878 nt
Filed under: uncultured bacterium
Lineage: Bacteria
Description: bacterial SSU rRNA
Rfam family: Bacterial small subunit ribosomal RNA
Source: RNAcentral